Molecule: transfer RNA, 72 nt
Filed under: Cavia porcellus (domestic guinea pig)
Lineage: Eukaryota; Metazoa; Chordata; Mammalia; Rodentia; Caviidae
Rfam family: tRNA
About the family: Transfer RNA (tRNA) molecules are approximately 80 nucleotides in length. Their secondary structure includes four short double-helical elements and three loops (D, anti-codon, and T loops). Further hydrogen bonds mediate the characteristic L-shaped molecular structure. tRNAs have two regions of fundamental functional importance: the anti-codon, which is responsible for specific mRNA codon recognition, and the 3' end, to which the tRNAs corresponding amino acid is attached (by aminoacyl-tRNA synthetases). tRNAs cope with the degeneracy of the genetic code in two manners: having more than one tRNA (with a specific anti-codon) for a particular amino acid; and 'wobble' base-pairing, i.e. permitting non-standard base-pairing at the 3rd anti-codon position.
Source: Rfam by way of RNAcentral
CAGGGGGUAGCUCAGUGGUAGAGCACAUACUUAUCAUGCAUGAGGCCCUGGCUUCAAUCUCCAGACCACUGA